UUGACCUCGGAUCAGGUAGGAAUACCCGCUGAACUUAAGCAGACA
This 45-nucleotide ribosomal RNA is filed under the name fungal sp. M-bb. Its description in RNAcentral is "partial 28S ribosomal RNA". Lineage: Eukaryota; Fungi. The record is from RNAcentral.